AAAGGGAGACCUAAUUCAGGUAUGGGACGAAAAAAAAGUAGUCCCUACCAAGAAUCAAUCCCAAAAGGUCGGAACGAGGUGUGUGGCUUUCAAACUAGGUUCUGGGUUCAUAAAAGACCUGAAUCAGGAACAAGGGCUAUUAGCUCAGGUGGUUAGAGCGCACCCCUGAUAAGGGUGAGGUCCCUGGUUCGAGUCCAGGAUGGCCCACCUGCACAGGUGGAAGAAAGAAAAGAAGCUCCGAAUCAGCACCUUAUCUUACUUAUAUAGUAAGAGAGAAUGCUGGCUCUGAGUACAGAGUCCAGAGGAACCUUGAAAACUGCAUAGAGCUAGGUGAAAAAGCCAAAAAAGAAGACCGCAAG
Molecule: transfer RNA, 359 nt
Filed under: uncultured Microcystis sp.
Lineage: Bacteria; Bacillati; Cyanobacteriota; Cyanophyceae; Chroococcales; Microcystaceae
Description: partial 16S-23S ribosomal RNA intergenic spacer
Rfam family: tRNA (bases 134-207)
Source: RNAcentral